Oreochromis aureus is the source of this 222-nucleotide long non-coding RNA. RefSeq lists it as uncharacterized. NCBI's taxonomy places the organism in Eukaryota, Metazoa, Chordata, Actinopteri, Cichliformes, Cichlidae. The record is from RefSeq and is a predicted model, not a curated record. The transcript has 3 exons.
AAAUUUGUACAACAUCACCUAUUCUUUGUGUCCUCUGCAAGAAGGAUGCAAACAGAGAAGCCCUUUGUCUACAUCUACAUCAUCUACAUCUACAUCAAGCUGGCUGAGGUUUUGAGCCAAGAAGAUCAAAACACCUUGAUCCAAUUUCCUUUACAAAGGUUUUCCUGUGGUGACAACAGGACAGGAGAAGUUGUAAAUGCGGAUAAUUUACCAGUUGACUCU